CAAUAGCGUAUAUUAAAGUUGUUGCAGUUAAAAAGCUCGUAGUUGAAUUUCUGGGCGGCCCGCCGGUCUUCCAUGUGUUGUACUGGGCGGCGCCGGCCAUCCUUGUGGAGAGGGCUCGCAUUUGGUUGCGUGUCGGAUCUGCAUCAUUUACUGUGAAAAAAUUAGAGUGUUUAAAGCAGGCUGUCGCUUGAAUACAUUAGCAUGGAAUAAUAAGAUAGGACUUCGGUCUAUUUUGUUGGUUGCGAACCGAGGUAAUGAUUAAUAGGGAUAGUUGGGGGUAUUCAUAUUUAAUUGUCAGAGGUGAAAUUCUUGGAUUUAUGAAAGAUGAACAACUGCGAAAGCAUUUACCAAGGAUGUUUUCAUUGA
This 366-nucleotide ribosomal RNA is filed under the name uncultured eukaryote. RNAcentral describes it as "partial 18S ribosomal RNA". It matches the Rfam family "Eukaryotic small subunit ribosomal RNA", at positions 592 to 976 of the family's 1831-position model. The record is from RNAcentral.